GAAGCAGGGUUGGAACUAGAACAUUCGGGCCCUUCAGGAACUGAGUUUGAUACUUCUGAAUUAGGGCUCUUCCUAAUAGAAUUAAACUUCCCUGCUCAAAGCAUCAUGGCCCGAAGUGUCCAUCAGUUGUAUCCUUCAUUCUAAAGGACCCUUCAAAGUAGCCAGUUUUGCGUACUUCGGUUUGGAAUGACACUUCAAUAUGGCAGCCAUGAAUGUUUUCAGGCCGAAGUGCCCUUCAGAGGGCGAUAUUUCCUGUAUGAGCAUACCAAUGACUUCUGCUGAGAACUCAUCACUGAAUUGAUCCAGAUGAUUAACAAGCAAGAUUUGUUCGGAGAGCAACCAGUAAAGGAAAUCCUGGUCUGCGGGUUGGUCAAGACAACUCUUAAUCAUUGAGGAAUCAAUUAAAGCAGACUUAAACAUUCUGGUGAACUGGACUCCACACACAGAUGUUCUUUUGAUACAAAUUUAUUGCAAAUAUAGAAUUAGUUUUUUUGUACAGAAGUUGAAAAACAAUCAUCACAAAAAACAAGAACAAUGAAUGCCUAAAAAAGCAGAAUGGAAUAAACCAGUUCAUGGAUCCAAUUUAGAGGACAAAACAUGUUUAUACAGAUCCCAAAUCAGUCUCUCCUUCAUCAUAAAAAGAUGCGAAGCUUUCAGGUCUGGUGAUCAGAGCAAACAUGACCUAUGACCUCUUGUCCAACUGCUUGUCCUCUUGAAGACAGGGAUAAAUUAAGCAAAUAUGAACUAACAGCCCAAAGAUCUAAGGCUUAUUUUUUUUAUUCUGAACCCAAUCCCAAAGUGUACACUUAAUGUGCUCUUGUGGACAUACUGUAUGGUGGCUGCCAAGUGUAUCUGUCCAUUAGGUUUACUAGACUGUACGACAACUCUAGACCUGUUGGACCACAAUUCUUCAAGGUUUAGCACCAUCUGUCUGUAAUUCUAAUUCUGAAGACAUAUGUUAUAUUAUUCAGGUAUGUUCGAUUGUGGAUGUAGCUGAUCUUUGCAGGACAGAGUCCUUCCAGUAUUGGGGUGCCCAACUCUUGGUAUAAGGUGCCUCCCAUUUAGAGGGAUCUCAAAUGUGCACAGAUAUUACCCUAAGCAGACUUCAACCCUACUCAUAGUUACUAAUAGCACAAGAGUUUAGGGUGCCAUUUGGGAUUAAGCCAUAGAGUAUAUUGAUGUGAAGGGAACAAGAUUCCAUGCGAUCCUUAAAGACUCCCAAGGGUCAAACUGACUUUUGCAACCACUUCUGCUGUCGUACAUGAAUUGGAGCAAGCAUGUUUCCAAUCGAUUGUGGCCAUCGUUGUCUCCAAGCAAGUGGUGUACAGGUUUCCCAGUUUACACUAUGAAUUAUAAAUAAGUACCUCACAAUUAAGGUAUAUUUAGAAAGGUUUCCAGAGAAGCUCAAUUGGCAAAAGAGAUUGUCCACGUUUCUUGGCAAGGAAUCGAAUUUGAUGACAAACCAUUCUUUCUUUACUGCUUUUGACGGUCCAAGGAGGCUUUCAUAAUACACAUCUUGAAAGAAAACAGCUGAAACAAGCCUUGUGGGAUGUCUGUAGAUCGAUAAUCAGGAGAUGUGAUUGAUCAGUGCUUGUAAAAGAAUUCAAUGCAAGAGGAAGCUAGAAGAACUCAACCAACCUCUAUGCUUAAACUCUUGAUAAAGUGGGGUUGAUUAUGCAGAAGACAAACAUCAUGUGGAAAUUUAACAACAGUUGAGGAAAUGCAUUGUAAAUGCCAGCGAAGGCAAACACUAAAGGCGACACUGAAACCAAUUUUAGUUUACCACUGAGUUUGGAUUACAUUAAAUAUGUAAAAUAACUAAGUAAUCAAACUAAAUGCUAAAGCAAUUUCUACUUUCCUUGGUGAAGCGCUGUAGGGGAGAGUAGGCAUUAAUUACUAAUGGGAUUAUUUUGCAAAUGCUAAUAGUUUGUUGUUAGCAUUCUCCACGGUUGACCUCCCGACCAAUGACUGCUAAUCUUUGUAAACAGGGAUAAAUGUCAAUUAACCCUGAUGGUAUUAAGUGAAAAUAUCUAAAUAGUAUGAGAUGGGUUGUACUGUGAAGGCCAAAAUAUAUUAACGGUGUACAACAAUGUUUACAGUACAAUGUUUUGGCGUAAAUGAUCACAUCUGACAAGGACCUGACCUAUCAUUUCAUCAAGCAUUUGAUUCAUUUAAUUCAGCAGUUGUAUACAUAAUGCAUGUAAAUGAGUUUAAAUAUUAUGGCAGUGGAAUGAAAAGUCUGUUAGCAAAGGUUAGAGGAAAAUAAAAUAACAAUGUCAUGGAAACGUUUCAGUUUCAUAGUGUUUGGAAAAACAUCCACUCAGCAUACACAACAAUAAAUUUUAGGCUCACUGAAAAUACAGAAAAUCAUGCAAAUAUAACACUUUAUUUAAUUUUCAUGUUUUUUUUUUCAGUCUAUAUUUUGUCAUCUUAAUUACAGAUCAUUGCACGACCCCGACCAUUAAAAAAAAGCCCUCCCAAAAUACACUCCAGUCCCACCCAAAACAAUGAUAUACAGAACAAGCUUGGUAGAAAAACAGUCAUAGACUCUUUACAAAAUUCACAGAUGUUUCGCAUUUCCUUCUUUUCAAUAAGUAACUCCGUUCAGGUGACCUAAACAUUGUAAACUUGAUCAGCGCACAUUGACACAAAAAUAAAUAAAUUAAUAUAUAAAAAGACAACACACAUAAAUCAACCCUAAUAUGGUUCAUAUCCUAGAUGAUCAUUUUAAAAUGCCACAUUCCCACAAUGCACUCCUGAUCAGCUCAGCAACCGCUGGCCUUUAUGCAACUUAUGAAAUACAUGACUGCUUUUUCAUUAACUUUCAGUAUUCAAAGAUGAAAUAAGAGAAGGAAUUUGUAAUAUCGCAUAAAUCAAAUCACAAAGCCAAUCACAGAAGUGAAAAUGAGAAACUGCAUCAUACGGUAUCGGUUAACAUGAAGGAAUACAUCGCUCUUCAGGCUGGCUUCAACAGAUUGCUAUGCUGCACUAACUCCGAGAUGAUUAUCUUCAGCGCAUUAUGCAUGCAGAGAGCACAAGAUCCCACAUGCUGGACGUGGACUCAUUUAGAGGCCGCUGGAAUUAGACACGUUCUGAAUAUCACACCCGGCAAGAGACUGAAAACAUGCUGCUACGUAAAAUUACCCUCUCUUCAGAUGGCCGUCAAAUUUGAACAGAGUAAAAUGAGGUUUAUUAUGGGUUGUGUGAUUGCUAGUCACUCAAAUAAACAUACUACACACAUUAAUGUAAGCUAACAUGCUAAUCCUCAGACCAUUAGUCAACAAAAAACUCAUUAACCACAGAAGGUUUAGCGUGGUGCUAGGCACCGUGUUAAUCUUUUGUUCAAGCAAUACACAAGUUAGGAUGCAAAUCCUCACACUAACAGUCAACCAACAUCUCAUUAUCCAAACAAACAGCUUUUAGCAUUAUGAUAGGACACUUGUUAGCAGCUUUUCUGCAUUCUUUUAACCAUUCCAAGCCUAAUUGAAUGAUAUAACUGGAAUUAAAUAGUAUCACAAUGUUUAAGCUAACUGAUAUAACAUUAGUGUGAUGGGGCGACGUAUGGGCUUGGCACUACAUUUCCCAUAAGUCCGUAGCAGAGCGUAACGUAGCAUAACAGGUGUCAGUACGCGCUAUAAAUAGACGCACAACAGCAUAGCGUGCUUUUGGUUGUCAUUCAUUGAGGCUACAAACAAGUGGGUAUCAAGCAGAAUCCCACCCGUGUUAAUGGUGAUUGGCCUGGUGACACAGUCGGCAGAUUUUAACUGAUAUACUACUUGUGUGAAUUACAUUCAAAAGGUAAAAGGAACUUAAAAUGCUACUUUAAUAUUUACUAUUACAUAAUGUGAUUAUUUAAAUAAAAUGGUUUUAUAGGUUCUCUAAGAAGAAACUCUGGGAUGGGUUUUAAUUCCUUUUGGUUAGGUCCCGUUAUGUAAGGUAUUUGAAUUUUAUCCAAAGCCAUUUUAAUGCAGAUUUAAUAUUCACAAAUAUUUAUUAAGUCGUUUUUGUGUUACAGGACUAGCACGACUAUUGUUACUAUUUUUGUUUGUUGAUUUAGGUGAAAGGCCCUGUUUGUUGUGUGCUGUGUACAAAUAUUAUUGUAACUUUUUCUUUGGUUUGUUUUGUUACUCUUGUGUGUUAAAGGGCAGCCGCUCGUCUCCUCCGUGGGUGUGACUGGCACUGGUGAGGUGGUGGGACCCUUUAAUGGUUUGUGGUGAUUUGUGUAUAUUUUUGGAGUGCUGUGGUUGCUGUAGUGUGAUUGCUGUGCUAUUGGGAGUUGAGAGCUUCUCAUCUGUUGCAUCUUCUCACACUUCGUCCUGCCCCGUUGUAGGCCUGAGGUUUGCCCUGAAGGUUUUGUUAUUUUGUGUUGCUUACUUUAGCAUUCUCUUUUUAAAUUGAAAUUGCCCCAUUUAUGCAAUGUUUUAACGAGUAACUGGUUUUGUACUUUAUAAUAAAAACUGUUUGAAUGAG
Molecule: non-coding RNA, 4470 nt
Organism: Danio rerio (zebrafish)
Lineage: Eukaryota; Metazoa; Chordata; Actinopteri; Cypriniformes; Danionidae
Source: RefSeq, a predicted model, not a curated record